This 327-nucleotide ribosomal RNA is filed under the name uncultured soil bacterium. RNAcentral's name for it is "bacterial SSU rRNA". It matches the Rfam family "Bacterial small subunit ribosomal RNA", at positions 26 to 366 of the family's 1533-position model. The record is from RNAcentral.
AGAACGAACGCUGGCGGCAGGCUUAACACAUGCAAGUCGAACGGGCACCUUCGGGUGUCAGUGGCAGACGGGUGAGUAACGCGUGGGAACGUACCCUUCGGUUCGGAAUAACCCGGGGAAACUCGGGCUAAUACCGGAUACGUCCUUCUCUGGAGACAGAGGGGGAGAAAGAUUUAUCGCCGAAGGAUCGGCCCGCGUCGGAUUAGCUAGUUGGUGGGUAAUGGCCCACAAGGCGACGAUCCGUAGCUGGUCUGGAGAGGAUGAUCAGCCACACGUGGGACUGAGACACGGCCAGACUCCUACGGGAGCAGCGAGUGGGGAAUAGUU